This is a long non-coding RNA of Panicum virgatum (switchgrass), 861 nucleotides long. RefSeq lists it as uncharacterized. The transcript is spliced from 3 exons. Lineage: Eukaryota; Viridiplantae; Streptophyta; Magnoliopsida; Poales; Poaceae. The record is from RefSeq and is a predicted model, not a curated record.
UCUGAAAAAAUUAGUCACCACAAACAUCCGUGACUCUCGUUCGCGGGAGAAAAAUCCCCAUCCGCUGUUCCUCCGCCCGAUCCCCAAUUCCACCGGCGGCGCUCGCUUGGUUUCCAUGGUGGCCAUGCCAGAUCCCGCAAAUCCAAUACACCCCCUACCUCCACCACCCGACCUAUGACUCAUGGAGAUCCUUCUGGUCAUUGAUUGCUCGUCGCCCGGGGGUACGCCCCUCUAGCACUGGCAGCCUAUCUCCUCUGUGGUUGGAUUCAUGGCGAGCCAUGGGAACGAUGAAUCGAGGUGCCGGACUGGUGCUGCAUCCCUGAAGAGGCGCGCACCAUGGCCAACCUUGCUCCUACGGCAGAUCCUUGUGGUGGAAGAGGAUCCUGUGGUCUGCAUCUAUGACGAUGCUACAUGCGAACAAUAGGCAUGGAGAAGCUGACUCCAAUCCAUGGGAAGAAUUGUUAUCUGCAACCCCUCCAAAAGUAUCAGAUUGCACCCCCAAAUAGAGAUCUACUGACUGCACAUCCAAACACUUGAUUAGGUGAAGAAACAGAAGCCAACGGCUCCCAGUACAGAGCAACGGCUACAAGUGCAGAGCAACGGCUACCAGAGAAGAGCAACGGCUACCUGGGCAGAGGAACAGGAGCAAAGCAGAACAACAGCUGAGGCCAACAGUUAAACUGAAAUGUAUAUUUUAUUUGUAUGAAUAGUGGCUGUGAAAAAGUAUUGUAUUUUAUGUCUUGUGGCCACACCUUAAGCUUAAGGUUCAUUUUUGGCGGAUGGUGCUUGUGGCUUGGAUGCACAAUGGUAAAGGUGCAUAACUGUAACAUCAUUAAAUGCUUAAGGUUACCUUUUUUCCUA